RNAcentral lists this ribosomal RNA (443 nucleotides) under uncultured bacterium. RNAcentral describes it as "partial 16S ribosomal RNA". It matches the Rfam family "Bacterial small subunit ribosomal RNA", at positions 338 to 795 of the family's 1533-position model. The record is from RNAcentral.
CCUACGUGGGGCAGCAGUGGGGAAUAUUGCACAAUGGGCGAAAGCCUGAUGCAGCAACGCCGCGUGAAUGAAGAAGGGUUUCGGCUCGUAAACUUCUAUCAACAGGGACGAAAGACUUGACGGUACCUGCAUAAGAAGUCCCGGCUAACUACGGGCCAGCAGCCGCGGUAACACGUAGGGGGCAAGCGUUAUCCGGACUUACGGGGUGUAAAGGGUGAGUAGGCGGCAUGGUAGGACAGAUGUGAAAGCCUUGGGCUUAACCUGAGGAUUGCGUUUGGAACUAGCGAACUAGAGUGCAGGGGAGGAAAGCGGAAUUCCUAGUGUAGCGGUGAAAUGCGUAGAUAUUAGGAAGAACACCGGUGGCGAAGGCGGCUUACUGGACUGAAACUGACGUUGAGGCACGAAAGCGUGGGGAGCGAACAGGAUUAGAUACCCUUGUAGUC